AUGACGAAGCUGGCCAAGGUCCUUCACCGCAAGGGCUUCCAUAUCACCUUCGUCAACACGGAGUACAACCAACGCCGCCUCGUCCGUUCCCGCGGCCCUGACGCCAUAGCCGGCCUCCCAGACUUCUGCUUCGCCACCAUUCCGGACGGCAUGCCCUUGUCUGACGCUGAUGCCACGCAAGACCCGGCGUCGCUUUGCUAUUCCACCAUGACCACCUGCCUCCCCCACCUGAAGUACCUGCUCCACGACCUCAAAAACAAAUCAGGGACGCCACUGGUAAGGUGUGUCGUGACGGACGGCCUCAUGAGCCUUGGUGUUGAUGCUGCGGCGGAGAUCGGUGUUCCCUGCGCGCUGUUCUGGACUGCCAGCGCCUGCGGUUACAUGGGCUACCACAACUUUCGAUUCCUCGUAGAUGAGGGUCUUACUCCUCUCAAAGUUUGCGCAGAUAAAGAGUAG
Molecule: ribosomal RNA, 456 nt
Filed under: Triticum aestivum (bread wheat)
Lineage: Eukaryota; Viridiplantae; Streptophyta; Magnoliopsida; Poales; Poaceae
Description: partial small subunit ribosomal RNA
Source: RNAcentral